RNAcentral lists this ribosomal RNA (253 nucleotides) under uncultured bacterium. RNAcentral describes it as "partial 16S ribosomal RNA". It matches the Rfam family "Bacterial small subunit ribosomal RNA", at positions 524 to 776 of the family's 1533-position model. The record is from RNAcentral.
UACAGAGGAUGCAAGCGUUAUCCGGAAUGAUUGGGCGUAAAGCGUCUGUAGGUGGCUUUUUAAGUCCGCCGUCAAAUCCCAGGGCUCAACUCUGGACAGGCGGUGGAAACUACCAAGCUGGAGUACGGUAGGGGCAGAGGGAAUUUCCGGUGUAGCGGUGAAAUGCGCAGAUAUCGGGAGGAACACCCGUAGCGAAGGCGGCACUCUGGGCCGGUACUGACGCUGAGGAGCGAAAGCGUGGGGAGCAAACAGG